GCCUAACACAUGCAAGUCGAGCGGCAGCGAGAGUAGUAGCAAUACUACUUGUCGGCGAGCGGCGGACGGGUGAGGAACACGUAGGAAUCUACCCAGAAGAGGGGGAUAACCAAGGGAAACUUUGGCUAAUACCGCAUAAUCUCGAGAGAGAAAAGCUGCCCGCAAGGGUGGCGCUUUUGGAGGAGCCUGCGUCCGAUUAGCUAGUUGGUAGGGUAAAGGCCUACCAAGGCGAUGAUCGGUAACUGGUCUGAGAGGACGACCAGUCACACUGGGACUGAGACACGGCCCAGACUCCUACGGGAGGCAGCAGUGGGGAAUAUUGGACAAUGGGGGAAACCCUGAUCCAGCGAUGCCGCGUGAGUGAAGAAGGCCUUCGGGUCGUAAAGCUCUUUAGGUUGGGAAGAAGGUUGUUAGGGUAAUAUCCUAGCAAUUUGACGGUACCGACAGAAUAAGCACCGGCAAACUCUGUGCCAGCCGCCGCAGUAA
Molecule: ribosomal RNA, 486 nt
Filed under: uncultured bacterium
Lineage: Bacteria
Description: partial 16S ribosomal RNA
Rfam family: Bacterial small subunit ribosomal RNA
Source: RNAcentral